Molecule: ribosomal RNA, 608 nt
Filed under: uncultured Clostridium sp.
Lineage: Bacteria; Bacillati; Bacillota; Clostridia; Eubacteriales; Clostridiaceae
Description: bacterial SSU rRNA
Rfam family: Bacterial small subunit ribosomal RNA
Source: RNAcentral
AGGAAAGUAGCGAACGGGUGAGUAACACGUGAGAAACCUGCCUUUCACAAAGGGAUAGCCUCGGGAAACCGGGAUUAAUACCUUAUGAUACAUUAAUAUCGCAUGAUGUGAAUGUUAAAGAAUUUCGGUGAAAGAUGGUCUCGCGUCUGAUUAGCUAGUUGGUAAGGUAGUGGCUUACCAAGGCGACGAUCAGUAGCCGGAUUGAGAGGUUGAACGGCCACACUGGAACUGAGACACGGUCCAGACUCCUACGGGAGGCAGCAGUGGGGAAUUUUGCACAAUGGGGGAAACCCUGAUGCAGCGACGCCGCGUGAACGAUGAAGGUCUUCGGAUUGUAAAGUUCUGUCCUUAGCGAAGAUAAUGACAGUAGCUAAGAAGCAAGCCCUGGCUAAAUACGUGCCAGCAGCCGCGGUAAUACGUAUGGGGCAAGCGUUGUCCGGAAUUAUUGGGCGUAAAGGGUAUGUAGGCGGUUAAUUAAGUCUGAAUUCAAAGGCUGUGGCUCAACCACAGUUCGAUUUAGAAACUGGUUAACUUGAGUAGAUGAGGGGAAAGUGGAAUUCCAUGUGUAGCGGUGAAAUGCGUAGAUAUAUGGAGGAACACCAGUGGCG